AACGCACCUUGCGCUCUCUGGUAUUCCGGGGAGCAUGCCCGUUUCAGAAUCAUUAAAACAUCUCACCAUCUCUGGUGGUGGACGAUGGAUGAUUUGAGCUGCCUGGCAGCCCAAUCGUCUGAAAAUGAUUGUGCGCGCUCCGACUGUUGUCGGUUGGCUCAAAAGGUGCAACAAGAUUAACAUCUAUUCGCCUCUCGAGUUCAAUCAUAUGCAACAUUGGUAGUGAGUACUCCACCAAUUACAAGGUUGGGAAGCUGAGCUGAACAACCUGUUAACUUGGUCUGAAAUCGGGCAAGAAAACCCGCUGAACUUAA
Molecule: unclassified non-coding RNA, 314 nt
Filed under: uncultured fungus
Lineage: Eukaryota; Fungi
Description: sequence contains ITS2
Source: RNAcentral